AAUAAGUGUUUUACUGCACUUUUUAAAAAUAGUACUCACCUUGUGUGCAAUGUUGUGUUUCUUUUCGGAGAAACACCUACACCAACCUAUAACCUUGAACCAUUUUGUCUGAAAAAUAUUAUGAAUAAAACAAUUCAAAAUACAACUUUCAACAACGGAUCUCUUGGCUCU
RNAcentral lists this unclassified non-coding RNA (171 nucleotides) under rhizosphere metagenome. RNAcentral describes it as "partial ribosomal RNA internal transcribed spacer region". The record is from RNAcentral.